AUUGAACGCUGGCGGCAUGCUUUACACAUGCAAGUCGAACGGGGUGGUGGGGCAACCCGCCAUUCAGUGGCGAACGGGUGAGUAAUGCAUCGGAACGUGUCCCGUAGUGGGGGAUAACCCGGCGAAAGCCGGACUAAUACCGCAUAUGCUCUACGGAGGAAAGCGGGGGACCUGAAAGGGCCUCGCGCUAUGGGAGCGGCCGAUGUCCGAUUAGCUUGUUGGUGGGGUAAUGGCCACCAAGGCGACGAUCGGUAGCUGGUCUGAGAGGAUGAUCAGCCACACUGGGACUGAGACACGGCCAGACUCCUACGGGAGGCAGCAGUGGGGAAUAUUGGACAAUGGGCGAAAGCCUGAUCCAGCCAUGCCGCGUGAGUGAAGAAGGCCUUAGGGUUAGUAAAGCUCUUUCAGCGGGGAA
Molecule: ribosomal RNA, 415 nt
Filed under: uncultured bacterium
Lineage: Bacteria
Description: bacterial SSU rRNA
Rfam family: Bacterial small subunit ribosomal RNA
Source: RNAcentral